GUUUGGAUCCACAAGUGAGGAGCCUUGAGGAACGAUUACAGUUGGAGAUACAGAUUUAGGAGUUUUAGGCAUACAGGUGGACCUAAAGCCAUGGGACUGCAUAAGGUCACCUAGGGAGAAUGUGUGGCUAGAGAAUGGUACAGGGCACAUCCCUAGAGAGUCCAAUGGAUUAUCAGAGAAGGAGAAACUAGCAGAGAAUAAAGAGAAGGAAAGACAUUGUUCUAAUCAUCAGUUAUCAUAUUGGACUGCAAUAUUCUCAGAAGCUAUUGUAAUAUAAAAGGGAAUUUUCAUCCUUUGCGUCUCUGCCAACUGACUUGAGCCUGCUGCGCUUUUCCUGACUACUCCUCCUCAUCCAAGCUGUUGGAUUUUAAAAAUGGAGUGCUCAAGUGCUUACAGAGAUUCAAACGUGCCGUCCAUUUGGACUUAUUCUCAUGGCAGCGUAAUAUGUUAUUGAUUAGUGGAGAGUCCAGAACGUGUGAUGCUCUUUGUAACUGCAGGCUGGUGGAUGACUUCUACGCAAAAUGACGACCAGAAUCAAAAGGUUUCUGAGAAGUAUUAAGACUGAAAACAAAAACCGUCCUACUGAACUGAAGAAAACAAAGCCGGUGAAUCCCAACUUGCGGGAAUCAAAGAGACCUUCCAGCUCCAGGCAGACCUCAUCCCAACUCCAGAGAAGACCACACUUCAGCUCUUGUCCAUAGUUGUGUUAGCAGUGGUUCCGAAUCAGCAGUUCUGACUAGAAGUUUUGAUUUAUAUGCUAACCGUGCAAAAAUAAUGAUUAAAACCUGAAGUUUGUCUCAUGGAUUCAACUACCACCUCUGCUCUCAGGACCACAAACCCUGUAUUUUUAGGGUUCAUCUCUGUCUCAGCUCCAAAAUCAAAUAUCCAACUAUGUGACGAACAUUGACUGCCAGAGACCUCACUGUUGCUGCGGAUGCAACAAUUGCCCCAAAGAUUAAUGAGACAAAAUUGCCCUUCCCUGAGAGCUUACACUCUGGUAGGAGAGAGAUGAGCAGACUCCAGGAACGAGAGAGAUGCGCAGCAAGAUCAGGAGGAGUGGCUGUUCAUGUCGUCCGCACUGUAGUGAUUGGUGCACUCACUCAUUUCCCAAAGAGGCAACAAAUUCCUAAAGGGUAGAGACCAUGUCUCGUAUACUGUUCUUAUAUUUCCGCUAUUGGCAGAAGUUAGGAGCUCAAUAAAGAUUAGUUACGCGAAUGAGCCCAAGUAGGGAAGCUGAGCUGAGGAGCCAUAUCACUCCAUAUAUAAACACUCUAUAAAUCUCCUGGACCGUAUGUACCAUUCCUGUGCUCCGCCCUGUGUCUCCCUGCUUUUGGGCUUUGGAAUGUCC
RNAcentral lists this long non-coding RNA (1348 nucleotides) under Equus asinus (donkey). RNAcentral describes it as "lncRNA (ENSEASG00005033950.1)". The record is from RNAcentral. Lineage: Eukaryota; Metazoa; Chordata; Mammalia; Perissodactyla; Equidae.